This 71-nucleotide transfer RNA is filed under the name Nocardioides sp. RNAcentral's name for it is "tRNA-Gly". It matches the Rfam family "tRNA". Rfam says of the family: Transfer RNA (tRNA) molecules are approximately 80 nucleotides in length. Lineage: Bacteria; Bacillati; Actinomycetota; Actinomycetes; Propionibacteriales; Nocardioidaceae. The record is from RNAcentral. RNAcentral also lists the same sequence under 7 other names.
GCGGCAUUGGUGAAGUGGUAUCACAGCAGCUUCCCAAGCUGUUAUCACGGGUUCGAAUCCCGUAUGCCGCU